CAGGUUUUGGUCCAAUACCGCAGCAUUUGGAAUACGGAGGAGUUUAAGAAGACUGCUGCGAAGAACAAAAGAAAUAGAAAUUCAGAUUGCGGGGGAUUGGGACCAUCACUGCACACUGCAGGUUCAAUCUCUAUUUCUGAGCAUAGGAGAAGAUUAAAAGAAAAGCUUGGAGAAGAGUCCUCGCAUGCAGUGUUGUUCCAAGCAACUCACAAACG
Long non-coding RNA from Ipomoea nil (Japanese morning glory), 215 nucleotides. RefSeq lists it as uncharacterized. The transcript is spliced from 2 exons. The record is from RefSeq and is a predicted model, not a curated record. NCBI's taxonomy places the organism in Eukaryota, Viridiplantae, Streptophyta, Magnoliopsida, Solanales, Convolvulaceae.